Bufo bufo (common toad) is the source of this 615-nucleotide long non-coding RNA. RefSeq lists it as uncharacterized. Lineage: Eukaryota; Metazoa; Chordata; Amphibia; Anura; Bufonidae. The transcript is spliced from 3 exons. The record is from RefSeq and is a predicted model, not a curated record.
UCAUAAGAUGCAAUAUACUUCUGAGCAUAAGAGUGCUCUAAUUGUCAUAUCACAACUUUUAUAUAAAACCCUGAUUCCAUCUUAUCGUAUAUGAUAUACUGAUAUGAUAAUGAAAAAACAUUGAAAACAAACUCCCUUGUCUCAUGGUGAAAGUGUUUUGCAAGUUUAUUUAGAAGUGAGGUUACAAAAACGAGUUUAAGAAAAUAUUAAGGAAAAAUUUAAAAAGAAUUUAAAAGAACAUGGCCCCAUGAGAUCCCUGUAGGAUGGGAGUGAGCAGAUGUCUGAUUACAGAAGUACAAUCAUUGAUGUAUAAUAAGAAUUUCUGGCCAAUUGCUACCAGAAUAAAUUAUAGGCCAUUAUUUUGCUUGCUGGUCCUAGCUCAACUCCCCGGAAAUGCCAUGAGAUGUGCAAUGCAAAUGUGCAAUGCAGCCAGCAUUGGAAUUGAAGCAGUAUUGGCAGAUUGGUGACAGUAAGUAUGGCUUCUCUUGUAUUUUGAGGGCUUUGCAAGCCAUAUCUACGGAAUUAAGACCACUUGUCAUCCCUUUUUACAGUGAACAAAUCCAAAUGAUCAUCUCUAAUGGUUUAAAUCAAGGGAACACCAGAUAUUUUUGGGAU